RNAcentral lists this ribosomal RNA (253 nucleotides) under uncultured bacterium. Its description in RNAcentral is "partial 16S ribosomal RNA". It matches the Rfam family "Bacterial small subunit ribosomal RNA", at positions 524 to 776 of the family's 1533-position model. The record is from RNAcentral.
UACAGAGGUGGCAAGCGUUGUUCGGAAUUACUGGGCGUAAAGGGCGCGUAGGCGGCCUUCUAAGUCAGACGUGAAAUCCCCAGGCUUAACUUGGGAACUGCGUCUGAUACUGGGAGGCUUGAGUGCGGGAGAGGGAUGUGGAAUUCCAGGUGUAGCGGUGAAAUGCGUAGAUAUCUGGAGGAACACCGGUGGCGAAGGCGGCAUCCUGGACCGACACUGACGCUGAGACGCGAAAGCGUGGGGAGCAAACAGG